RNAcentral lists this unclassified non-coding RNA (253 nucleotides) under uncultured bacterium. RNAcentral's name for it is "contains 16S-23S intergenic spacer region". It matches the Rfam family "Bacterial small subunit ribosomal RNA", at positions 524 to 776 of the family's 1533-position model. The record is from RNAcentral.
UACAGAGGUGGCAAGCGUUGUUCGGAUUUAUUGGGUGUAAAGGGCAGGUAGGCGGCAAUGCAAGUCUGUUGUGAAAUCCCAGGGCUCAACCCUGGAACUGCAAUGGAAACUGCAUCGCUUGAAUAUCGGAGAGGUAAAAGGAAUUCUCGGAGUAAGGGUGAAAUCUGUAGAUAUCGAGAGGAAUACCGAUGGCGAAGGCAUUUUACUGGCCGAAUAUUGACGCUGAACUGCGAAAGCUGGGGUAGCAAACAGG